Molecule: unclassified non-coding RNA, 329 nt
Filed under: soil metagenome
Description: partial contains 5.8S ribosomal RNA, internal transcribed spacer 2, and large subunit ribosomal RNA
Rfam family: 5.8S ribosomal RNA (bases 1-120)
Source: RNAcentral
GAUGAAGAACGCAGUGAAAUGCGAUAAGUAAUGUGAAUUGCAGAAUUCAGUGAAUCAUCGAAUCUUUGAACGCGCAUUGCGCCCCUUGGUAUUCCGAGGGGCAUGCCUGUUCGAGCGUCAUUAUAACCCCUCAAGCUCAGCUUGGUGUUGGGGCCUGCUGCACUGGCAGCCCUUAAAAUCAGUGGCGGCGCCAUCUGGCUCUAAGCGUAGUAAUUCUUCUCGCUAUGGAGUCCUGGUGGAUGCUUGCCAUCAACCCCCAAUUUUUCUAUGGUUGACCUCGGAUCAGGUAGGGAUACCCGCUGAACUUAAGCAUAUCAAUAAGCGGAGGA